GAUGAACGCUGGCGGCGUGCCUAAUACAUGCAAGUCGAGCGAACAGACGAGGAGCUUGCUCCUCUGACGUUAGCGGCGGACGGGUGAGUAACACGUGGAUAACCUACCUAUAAGACUGGGAUAACUUCGGGAAACCGGAGCUAAUCCCGGAUAAUAUAUUGAACCGCAUGGUUCAAUAGUGAAAGACGGUUUUGCUGUCACUUAUAGAUGGAUCCGCGCCGCAUUAGCUAGUUGGUAAGGUAACGGCUUACCAAGGCAACGAUGCGUAGCCGACCUGAGAGGGUGAUCGGCCACACUGGAACUGAGACACGGUCCAGACGCCUACGGGAGGCAGCAGUAGGGAAUCUUCCGCAAUGGGCGAAAGCCUGACGGAGCAACGCCGCGUGAGUGAUGAAGGUCUUCGGAUCGUAAAACUCUGUUAUUAGGGAAGAACAAAUGUGUAAGUAACUAUGCACGUCUUGACGGUACCGAAUCAGAAAGCCACGGCUAACUACGUG
RNAcentral lists this ribosomal RNA (497 nucleotides) under uncultured bacterium. RNAcentral describes it as "partial 16S ribosomal RNA". It matches the Rfam family "Bacterial small subunit ribosomal RNA", at positions 28 to 507 of the family's 1533-position model. The record is from RNAcentral.